UUAAUUGAAACCAAAAAGAGGUAUAUUAUUGUUAAUAAUAAAAUUGAAUUGAUUUCCAAUUAAA
This 64-nucleotide transfer RNA is filed under the name Natula pravdini. Its description in RNAcentral is "tRNA-Asn". Lineage: Eukaryota; Metazoa; Arthropoda; Insecta; Orthoptera; Trigonidiidae. The record is from RNAcentral.